This 611-nucleotide ribosomal RNA is filed under the name Saccharomyces cerevisiae (brewer's yeast). RNAcentral's name for it is "partial large subunit ribosomal RNA". It matches the Rfam family "Eukaryotic large subunit ribosomal RNA", at positions 41 to 666 of the family's 3401-position model. Lineage: Eukaryota; Fungi; Ascomycota; Saccharomycetes; Saccharomycetales; Saccharomycetaceae. The record is from RNAcentral.
AUUCAAAAAGCGGAGGAAAAGAAACCAACCGGGAUUGCCUUAGUAACGGCGAGUGAAGCGGCAAAAGCUCAAAUUUGAAAUCUGGUACCUUCGGUGCCCGAGUUGUAAUUUGGAGAGGGCAACUUUGGGGCCGUUCCUUGUCUAUGUUCCUUGGAACAGGACGUCAUAGAGGGUGAGAAUCCCGUGUGGCGAGGAGUGCGGUUCUUUGUAAAGUGCCUUCGAAGAGUCGAGUUGUUUGGGAAUGCAGCUCUAAGUGGGUGGUAAAUUCCAUCUAAAGCUAAAUAUUGGCGAGAGACCGAUAGCGAACAAGUACAGUGAUGGAAAGAUGAAAAGAACUUUGAAAAGAGAGUGAAAAAGUACGUGAAAUUGUUGAAAGGGAAGGGCAUUUGAUCAGACAUGGUGUUUUGUGCCCUCUGCUCCUUGUGGGUAGGGGAAUCUCGCAUUUCACUGGGCCAGCAUCAGUUUUGGUGGCAGGAUAAAUCCAUAGGAAUGUAGCUUGCCUCGGUAAGUAUUAUAGCCUGUGGGAAUACUGCCAGCUGGGACUGAGGACUGCGACGUAAGUCAAGGAUGCUGGCAUAAUGGUUAUAUGCCGCCCGUCUUGAAACCCGGAC